This is a small nuclear RNA of Octodon degus (degu), 160 nucleotides long. Its record names the gene U1. It matches the Rfam family "U1 spliceosomal RNA". From Rfam's summary of the family: U1 is a small nuclear RNA (snRNA) component of the spliceosome (involved in pre-mRNA splicing). Its 5' end forms complementary base pairs with the 5' splice junction, thus defining the 5' donor site of an intron. The record is from Ensembl. NCBI's taxonomy places the organism in Eukaryota, Metazoa, Chordata, Mammalia, Rodentia, Octodontidae.
GUAUUUACCUGGCAGGAGAGAUACUGUAAUCAUGAAAGGUUUUCCGAGGGAAGGCUCAUCCACUUCACUCCAGAUGUGUGGACCCUGCGAUUUUCCCAAAUGUGGGAAACUUGAUUUCAUAAUUUGUGGUAGUAGCAGACUGCAUUUGUACUUUCCCCUG